CACGUAGUUGGCCGGUCCUUCUUCUGCACAUACCGUCACUUGCGCUUCGUCUGUGCUGAAAGAGGUUUACAACCCGAAGGCCGUCAUCCCUCACGCGGCGUCGCUGCAUCAGGCUUGCGCCCAUUGUGCAAUAUUCCCCACUGCUGCCUCCCGCAGGAGUCUGGGCCGUAUCUCAGUCCCAGUGUGGCCGGUCACCCUCUCAGGCCGGCUACCCGUCGUCGCCUUGGUAGGCCAUCACCCCACCAACAAGCUGAUAGGCCGCGGGCCCAUCCCACACCGCAAAAGCCUUUCCCUACCAGGCCAUGCGACCAGCAGGGUAUAUUCGGUAUUAGACCCAGUUUCCCAGGCUUAUCCCAAAGUGCAGGGCAGAUCACCCACGUGUUACUCACCCGUUCGCCACUCGAGUACCCCGAAAGGCCUUCCGUUCGACUUGCAUGUGUUAAGCGCGCCGCCAGCGUUCGUCCUGAGCCAGAGUCAAACGUACU
RNAcentral lists this ribosomal RNA (485 nucleotides) under uncultured Mycobacterium sp. RNAcentral's name for it is "partial 16S ribosomal RNA". Lineage: Bacteria; Bacillati; Actinomycetota; Actinomycetes; Mycobacteriales; Mycobacteriaceae. The record is from RNAcentral.